This 819-nucleotide long non-coding RNA is filed under the name Pectinophora gossypiella (pink bollworm). Its description in RNAcentral is "uncharacterized LOC126381703". Lineage: Eukaryota; Metazoa; Arthropoda; Insecta; Lepidoptera; Gelechiidae. The record is from RNAcentral.
UGCGCAAUAAACUGUGUAGGAGUUUAUGAUUGCAAUAGAAUAAAAUCGACCAAGCCUGAAGUCAGCAGCCCCUUCAAUGAAUGCAGCAGUGUGACAGCCAACAAUCAAAAGUUACAAGAUAUCGAGGAAAUGCAGAAGGCAAAAAACUGCGUAGGAGAUCAUUAAUACAAAAGUAUUAUAUAAACCAAACCUGAUGUUGCCAGCUCCUUCAAUGAAUGCAGCAGUGUGACAGCCAGCAAUCAAAAGUAACAAGAUGUCGAGGAAAUGCAGAAGGCAAAAAACUGCGUAGGAGAUCAUUAAUACAAUAGUAUUAUAUAAACCAAGCCUGAUGUUGGCCGCUCAUUCAAAGAAUGCAGCAGUGUGACAGCCAGCAAUCAAAAGUAACAAGAUGUCGAGGAAAUGCAGAGUGCAAUAAACUUUGUAGGAGAUUAUGAUUGCAAUAGAAUAAAAUCGACCAAGCCUGAAGUUCUUCAAUGCACGCAGCAGUGUGACAGCCAGCAAUCAAAAGUUACAAGAUAUCGAGGAAAUGCAGAAGGCAAAAAACUGCGUAGGAGAUUAUUAAUACAAUAGUAUUAUAUCAACCAAGCCUGAUGUCGGUAGCUUCUUCAAUGAAUGCAGCAGUGUGACAGCCAGCAAUCAAUAGUGAUAGUGACAAGAAUCUAGGAAAUACAGAAGACAAAGAAGCAGAUGUCAUCAAAGAAGAUCUUUGUUCCUGCAAUGUUUCCGCAGACGAUACAUCCAACAGAGCGAAGUGGAAGGAAAAGACUCGGAAAAAAGACCCCACCACCAUAUGGGAACAAUGCAAGGGAGAGAGAGAGA